Molecule: small RNA, 34 nt
Filed under: Plasmodium falciparum 3D7
Lineage: Eukaryota; Apicomplexa; Aconoidasida; Haemosporida; Plasmodiidae
Description: Pfa-npcR6980
Source: RNAcentral
CCGAUAUAGAUGAUUAAAAAUAACAUAUAUGGGG